GGCAGCUGAUUGACGCUUUCCCUGACUGUCAUCAUCCAGCACAGAUGGCACUUCCUGUUUGGUAACACCUCACGUGGGCUUCUUCAUCCCCCCACUGACUCUGCCAGUCACCAUCCUACACAGUCAAAUGUGCACAGUAUUAGAAGUUUGCCAAGAGCACAUCCUUGUGUCUGCCAAGGAGUGUCUGUUAGAGGAAGAGUAUUCUAGCAGACGGUGUUCAGAGGAGAAAUGGACCACCCCAGGAGGCAGCAAACCCCUUGUCUCUGAGUUUCCUCAUUUGACAACGGGAAGAAAGAUACUGACCCACCUUGAAGAAUUUCCGUGAGGACCCAGUAAGAAGACGGGCUGAAAACAUUUCGAAAACCCUACAAAGACCAAAGUUGUCAUUUCAAGAAGGAAUUCGUUCAGCGGCAGAUAAGUCGCCCAGUUUCGAAUCUUGCUUCUGCCUGUCUCUAGCUGCGUGUCCAAGGACGAAACGGAGUAUUUUUUUUUUUUUUGAGAAUUUGUUUUCCAUCUUUAAAAUGGGAGCAAAAGGAAUAUCCACCUCUUAGCAUUUCUGCGAAGAUGGUGUGAAAUUGUGAGCAAGACCAUUCAUUCGCUGAGGAUUCCCUGUUUCUAUCAGCAAUCAUGUAAGCAUGCUGUGUUUGGACCAUGCGUGGACAAGGAUGCCUGUAACAUAAAUGGAUUUGUCUAGGCAGCGGGACUCUGACUUCAGAUAGGAGUGUGUGCCGUGGGCUAGGCUGCCGGCAGGAAGGGAGACAGACCAGAAAAAUCCCCAUGUUUGCUACUGUGGACAGUGAAAGCAGAUAAGUAAAGGGUCCGAGAAGAGCUUGCCUUGGGGGUGGUGGGCAGGGGUGCAGGAGGGCUGGGCCCUUUUGCUACGGGCUUGGGGAGCCGGUUCAGAGCCCGGCGACCUGGUAGGAGGUGGCCGAUCUUGGAGGAAGAGGCUGAGGCCCCCUAGGGCUGGAGGCUAACGGGGGCAGAGCCAGCAUCUUGGGGCUGAGGAGGGGCCCAAGACUCCUGGGGUGGGCAUGCGAGGUUCCUUUGUUUCAGAUGCCCCGUGGACUUCACACGGCACCAGCUGGAGGAACCAGAGACCAUUGGGUGGUUUUCCCCAAAUGUGGAGGAAUCUCUCCCCUCCCCCACCUCUGGUGUUGCUAGACGCUGGGCUUCCUGGGGGUUCUCAUAAACUCAGGAGGCUCUAUAAUCGUUUCCAUAUAGAAUGGUUUCCCUGAAUAGCGAAGGAGGCCAGCUGUAGCUGAUGGAACACAAAACAGCAUGCGCUCCUGGGGGAUAAACGUGAACGCCUAUCCCUGUGCCUGGCACGCCGCCCCCCCCCCCGCCAUCCCCCCAACUCCAGGAGGGAGGAGGUUGCCUAGUGGUUAAGCACGUGGCCUCUGGUCUCUGCACCACACGCUUCAACUCCGGCACGAUUGCUCACCGGUCGAAACCCCAGGCACGUUACUUAAAUCUUGCCGGGUCUCAGUUUUCUCUCCUGUGAAAUGGGCAUGAUGAUAGCCCGAAGAAAGGUUGUGGUCCUCAGGAUUUAAUGAGACACCUGGAAUAGCACGCAGCACGGGUGUCUGGAUGGGCUCACUAACACUAGCGGUUUCGAUGGUCACUGUCCCUGCUUCGGCACGUGCUGCAGGGCUCAGCCCAGUCCCUUGUGGUUUCUCUAUUGGUUUCCAGUGCUGUUACAACAUACCUGAUGUGCUAACCAUCCCCACGUCCUCCGUGCUUGCUAAACUCUCCCCACAACUUGCUUGGGCUCUUUCCUCCUCUGUGAACCCUCCUUGUGAGAGCUGCCUGGCCACAACCUCACCGCUCCUUGGGGUGCUGCCCGACCCGCCCUCCUUCCUGAAAGCGUGCCGCAGACCCGGGAAGGAAUUCGCCACUUCGCCUCCAACUCCCCAGGCUCAGAAUUUCCACGAAUCUCUGUGAGAGGGAGGCAGCAGCACGCAGCACGUCACGUCACGGUGCAGCUCUAGGGUGGCACAGCUGUAGCCCUAGCUGUGUGACCUUGGCUUGCCUGGGCCUCAGUGUCCUUGCGUGUCACAUGGAGACAAUACAAGCAGAGCUUUGUUCACAGGGCUGUGGUAAGACACGUAAAGCAGAGACAAUGCCUCCUGGCACCUAUGAAGGGCUCACAAAAGAUUGGAUAUUUCUAUAAAAAUAAUCUCCAAAAGCCUGGCUUUUAAUGGCUGUGAUAUCUACUGUGUGGGUAGAUCAUAAUUUCAUUAACCAGCCCCUUGUUGUUGGGCAUUUAGACUGCUUCCACUCUUUCACUAUUAUAAAUAAUGCUGCGGUGAACAUCUUGUAUAUAAAUCUUUCUGUUUAUCUCUGCUUCUUUAAAAGAGCUCCCCAAAGAUUGCUUGUCUUAGAACAAAGCCCCUGCCCCCCAGACUUUCCAGUGAUGCCCUUUGAAAUAAAAGCAAAGCCUAUUUUCCAUCAGGGAAAGGAACAUAUGGAACAUGUUAACCAAGAGGUGGUUCAGGAGGAAGGUAGAAAUAGGUUCAAGAUGGGUUUGGAUCCGUUUCAGGAUGUCUGACACAAAGCCAGUGAUACAGCUCCCCUCGAGCCUCCUUCCCGGAGCGAGGCAGAGGCUGAUCCUCGGGGACCACUGACUUCUUUCUUUGAGAGAAUUCCAAAGGGCUUUGAUGUUCUUGGCGUGGGAGAAGCAACAAUGACAGAUCAAUAAACGAAGCCAGAAUGUGUGGACAAUCCGGGACUCCUCCGGCCGGUAGGGGGCGAUAUCGCCUGCUUCUGUCUUCCAGUUGGGCCUAGGGUUUCUCCCUAACAAGGACUUCCUUUGUUGUUGUCUUAAAACUUUGGCUUACGCUUCAUAUAUUUCUCUCGCCUGUUUUCCUUCCUCUCCUCCCACCUACGCACUUUUCAGAAUCACUUUGGGUUGCCAUUCAUUCAUCCCCUUCCUUUGGGAGAAAUGUACUGCGUGCUUCCCCUAGGCCAGACAUCAAGAUUGUGUUCAGACUUUCUAAGACCUAGACGCGCUUGCUCUGGAAGCGCCGACUCACACGGAUCAAAUGUAUUGCAAUUCACCCAUAUUCCAUAUGAGGUAUAUUUUUCAUGUGAAGAAAAAUAAGGAUUAUAUUUUAUAAUGUCACUUUUGAAAUUAUUUGGCUACAAGUAAUUCGUUCCAUCUACGGCCGGCUUUGAUUUCGCAGCGGUUAUGGGGGUGCUCGAGAGUUCUUGCAAAGUGAGAAACAUCUAACCUGCACGUCGUCCUCGAAGACAGUGAAAUGUUUACGAAUUUUUAGGAAUGCUAAAUGAAACCAUUAAUGCGGUUGAUGUAAUAUUCUGUUUUGUGGACGUUUCAGUAAAAUUUUAUUCAUUUCCA
This is a long non-coding RNA of Prionailurus viverrinus (fishing cat), 3355 nucleotides long. RefSeq lists it as uncharacterized. Lineage: Eukaryota; Metazoa; Chordata; Mammalia; Carnivora; Felidae. The record is from RefSeq and is a predicted model, not a curated record. The transcript has 5 exons.